RNAcentral lists this ribosomal RNA (496 nucleotides) under uncultured bacterium. RNAcentral describes it as "partial 16S ribosomal RNA". It matches the Rfam family "Bacterial small subunit ribosomal RNA", at positions 28 to 507 of the family's 1533-position model. The record is from RNAcentral.
GAUGAACGCUGGCGGCGUGCCUAAUACAUGCAAGUCGAGCGAAGAAACGAGGUACUUGUACCUCUUGCGUGAGCAGCGGACGGGUGAGUAACGCGUGGAGAAUCUGCCUAUAAGAGUGGGAUAACUUUGGGAAACCGGAGCUAAUACCGGAUAAUAUCUUUAACCGCAAGUUUCAAGAGUGAAAGACGCAUUUGCAUUCACCAAUGGAGAUACCGCGUCGUAUUUGCUUGUUGGUAAGGUAAAGGCCUACCAAGGGGAAGAAGCGUAACCCGCCUGAGAGGGUGACCGGCCACACGGGAACUGAGCAACGGUCAAGACUCCUACGGGAGGCAGCAGUAGGGAAUCUUCGGCAAUGGGCGAAAGCCUGACGGAGCAACGCGGCGUGAGUGAUGAAGGUCUUCGGAUCUUAAACCUCUGUUAUUAGGGAGGACGAAAUGUGUAAGUAACUAUGCACGUAUUGACGGUAACUACUCAGAAAGCCACGGCUAACUACGUG